This 500-nucleotide ribosomal RNA is filed under the name uncultured bacterium. RNAcentral's name for it is "partial 16S ribosomal RNA". It matches the Rfam family "Bacterial small subunit ribosomal RNA", at positions 30 to 523 of the family's 1533-position model. The record is from RNAcentral.
AUUGAACGCUGGCGGCAUGCCUUACACAUGCAAGUCGAACGGCAGCACGGGAGCAAUCCUGGUGGCGAGUGGCGAACGGGUGAGUAAAGUAUCGGAACGUGCCCAGUCGUGGGGGAUAACGUAGCGAAAGUUAAGCUAAUACCGCAUACGAUCUAUGGAUGAAAGCGGGGCAUCGCAAGACCUCGCGCGAAUCGAGCGGACGAAAUCAGAUUAGGUAGUUGGGGGGGUAAAGGCUCACCAAGCCGACGAUCUGUAGCUGGUCUGAGAGGACGACCAGCCACACUGGGACUGAGACACGACCCAGACUCCUACGGGAGGCAGCAGUGGGGAAUUUUGGACAAUGGGCGAAAGCCUGAUCCAGCCAUGCCGCGUGCAGGAUGAAGGCCUUCGGGUUGUAAACUGCUUUUGUACGGAACGAAAAGGUUUGGCCUAUUAAGCUGAGCUCAUGACGGUACCGUAAGAAUAAGCACCGGCUAACUACGUGCCAGCCGCCGCGGUAA